Non-coding RNA from Populus trichocarpa (black cottonwood), 155 nucleotides. NCBI's taxonomy places the organism in Eukaryota, Viridiplantae, Streptophyta, Magnoliopsida, Malpighiales, Salicaceae. The record is from Rfam.
UAAUCUGUUUAAAGCAGACUCUCAUCUAAUCGUGACAGAUUCACAUCUGAUUGCUCAGAAUUAUUUGUUAUCGCAAACUCGACUACAUCAUUGACACUCAUAAAACAUAUUUGGAAGAAAAAAUUCAAAAGAUUAUGGUUCCUGUGUAAAAUGAU